UACGUAGGGUGCAAGCGUUGUCCGGAAUUAUUGGGCGUAAAGAGCUCGUAGGCGGUCUGUCGCGUCGGCUGUGAAAACUCGGGGCUCAACCCCGAGCCUGCAGUCGAUACGGGCAGACUAGAGUGCUGUAGGGAGACUGGAAUUCCUGGUGUAGCGGUGAAAUGCGCAGAUAUCAGGAGGAACACCGGUGGCGAAGGCGGGUCUCUGGGCCGUAACUGACGCUGAGGAGCGAAAGCAUGGGGAGCGAACAGG
This 252-nucleotide ribosomal RNA is filed under the name uncultured bacterium. RNAcentral's name for it is "partial 16S ribosomal RNA". It matches the Rfam family "Bacterial small subunit ribosomal RNA", at positions 524 to 776 of the family's 1533-position model. The record is from RNAcentral.